Long non-coding RNA from Bombyx mori (domestic silkworm), 589 nucleotides. RefSeq lists it as uncharacterized. The transcript is spliced from 3 exons. The record is from RefSeq and is a predicted model, not a curated record. NCBI's taxonomy places the organism in Eukaryota, Metazoa, Arthropoda, Insecta, Lepidoptera, Bombycidae.
UGACAUCAUUUCAAGUAAAUCUACCAGUUAAUUUCUUUACUGGUAGGCAUGGGUAGGUAUAACAAGCCUGCUAUUUUAGCCGCGAAAAGCUAUAAAAGGAAUUCGGUGAUUACGUAACGAUAAGUGGACUGUAAGAGUGUGUCCGUCUCAGAUAACAACAAUUCGAAUAAUUUGGAAGAAACACGACUAAUACAUUUUGUAAAUAAAAUGGAUCCUAAGGAUUUCUCGAAAAGCUCAGGAAGCGAUGGUAUGUUUGAUGUUCAAGAAUUGUUUUUGCGUGUUCGCAAAAAUUCAUCAGUAGUCUGAUGGACCACAUCUACAGUGAAUGCGCAGCCCCAGUCACGCGAAGAUGACUGCGAUGGAAAUCAUGGCCAGACAAUAUGGACGAAACGGUACUUUACGAUGAUACGAAGAAAAUUAUACUUAGUAACUUUCGUAUGUAAAUAAGUUGUUUACUUGAAAAAAUUGAUGUGAGAAUUUUUUGAAACUGAUGUUCACAUUUGAAGAAGUUUCUUUGUGAAUGCUGGUCUCAAGUAAAGGUACACGAUAUAUUAAACAUGUAUAAACAGUAUACGAGUAUCAAAAAGAA